GUUCCCUUCGGGGAACAAGUAGAGUGGCGCACGGGUGAGUAACACGUAGGUAAUCUACCUUCGGAUGGGGAAUAACAACCGGAAACGGUUGCUAAUACCGCAUAAUGCAGCGGCACCUAAUGGUGACAGUUGUUAAAGCGGGGGAUCGCAAGACCCCGCGUCUGAAGAGGAGCCUGCGGCGGAUUAGCUAGUUGGUAAGGUAAUGGCUUACCAAGGCGACGAUCCGUAACCGGCCUGAGAGGGCGGUCGGUCACACUGGCACUGACAUACGGGUCAGACUCCUACGGGAGGCAGCAGUCGGGAAUUUUGGGCAAUGGGCGAAAGCCUGACCCAGCAACGCCGCGUGAAGGAUGAGAUCCCUCGGGAUGUAAACUUCGCAAGAACGGGAAGAAUAAGUAGGGGACAAUACCCCCUAUGAUGACGGUACCGUUUGUAAGCUCCGGCUAACUCCGUGCCAGCAGCCGCGGUAAUACGGGGGGAGCAAGCGUUGUUCGGAUUUACUGGGCGUAAAGGGCGCGUAGGCGGCCUCCGCAAGUCAGUUGUGAAAUCUCCGGGCUUAACUCGGAAAGGUCAACUGAUACUGCGGGGCUAGAGUGCAGAAGGGGCAACUGGAAUUCUCGGUGUAGCGGUGAAAUGCGUAGAUAUCGAGAGGAACACCUGCGGCGAAGGCGGGUUGCUGGGCUGACACUGACGCUGAGGCGCGAAAGCCAGGGGAGCGAACGGGAUUAGAUACCCCGGUAGUCCUGGCCUUAAACGAUGAAUGCUUGGUGUCUGGGGUUAUAAAGUCCCCGGGUGCCGUCGCUAACGCUUUAAGCAUUCCGCCUGGGGAGUACGGUCGCAAGACUGAAACUCAAAGGAAUUGACGGGGACCCGCACAAGCGGUGGAGCAUGUGGUUUAAUUCGACGCAACGCGAAGAACCUUACCUGGGCUAGAAUGCCUCUGACAG
RNAcentral lists this ribosomal RNA (947 nucleotides) under uncultured bacterium. Its description in RNAcentral is "bacterial SSU rRNA". It matches the Rfam family "Bacterial small subunit ribosomal RNA", at positions 73 to 997 of the family's 1533-position model. The record is from RNAcentral.